AGCUGUGCAGACCUACAUUUGCUUUGCAUGGGCCAUCGCAACGAGGUGUUCUCUCCAGGGACCACAGGGGUUAUCAAUUUCUGUUUGGUGUCACUGUUUGGACUGGAUAAACAGGAGUUAGCCCAGCAGCGAUAACUGUGUCAAGUCUAUAGCGGCAUGCUAGAGGAACACAUGAGGCUCUUGCAGUCACACGCAAGCUGUGUCCAUCCUCUUUACUGGUGCCAUUUUAUCAGCUACUUGUGACAAAUGGCAGCUGAGGGGACGACUAAGGCCAAUGACGCUGGAUGUAAAAGCAACGUAGCUGAAGUGCAUGAAGAGACUUGGACCUUUUUACUGAGAACACUUCAUCAAGCAAGAUUGCCAAGGUCCAUCGUGGAAGAGUCACAGAGCUAAAAUAGGAGAAAACAUUAGAGUUUUUCUUCCAUGAAUCCCAUGCAAGGUUCCAAGCUUACAUUCUUCUAGAGACCUUUCAGCUGUUCUCGGAGGAUGGGAUGCAGAGCCACCUUACCUAACAGGAAAAGCACUGAACUAUGGAUCAAACUUCAGCGAUUUCAGUGGCCUGUAAUGCCCUCUAAUGGAGGAGUCUGUUGGAGCAGCGCCCUGUGAGAAGCCCUCGAGCAAAGGGACGGAAAGAAUCAAGUGUCCAGAUGGAGGAGCAGCCGCAGCCCUGCCAGAUUUGGACAUCUCUUCCACUACGAUUCCCCAUUGAUCGUGAGUUCACAAAAUAUGUCGUACAGAUGAAUGCUUCUGAAAGUGAGGCAGGGAUUUGGCAACACUGAAUGCUAAGCAUAAACUUUGGAAGCAGCGGAGAAGGAAUUCCUACUUCACCCAGAGGGAUGCUAUCUUGGAUGAGAAGCAGAAUUAGAUUCCCUCCAGGUCUGCAUGUUACAGCAGGACAAAAUAGAAAGUUUGCCGUGUUUGCAUUUGAAAUGUUAUCUUUAAAAGAUGCUUUAUGAUAAUCCUUCUAAACACUGCAUUGCUUAUGCUUCAGACUAGCAUAUAAAAGCAGUUUUCUGGACUUGGGUGGAAAAAAUCUGGACUGGCAGAUAAAGAGUAAAGCAAGUCCACUUUCUUCCCCAGUGCUUCAU
Long non-coding RNA from Nothoprocta perdicaria, 1088 nucleotides. RefSeq lists it as uncharacterized. The transcript is spliced from 6 exons. NCBI's taxonomy places the organism in Eukaryota, Metazoa, Chordata, Aves, Tinamiformes, Tinamidae. The record is from RefSeq and is a predicted model, not a curated record.